GGGGUUGGUAUCCCGCUGGCAUCCUCAAUGCAUCGAUCCGCUUAGUGUACGGCUUUGAGUACAUGGGUGAGACUUGAGAUGGUCCGCCAUAUUGCGCUUUCAUAGUAUUGGCAAUCAUCUCUUGCAAUUGUUGAACAGAUAGCGUGGCAACAGACAUCGAAGAAUGAGUGGCGCCUUGCACGAAGUCCGGCUUGGGAUGUGCUUCUUCCACUUGCUUUGCUUUCUCGUCACGAAGCGGGUA
RNAcentral lists this long non-coding RNA (241 nucleotides) under Erythranthe guttata (spotted monkey flower). RNAcentral describes it as "long non-coding RNA (EGUT_LNC000396)". The record is from RNAcentral. Lineage: Eukaryota; Viridiplantae; Streptophyta; Magnoliopsida; Lamiales; Phrymaceae.